UACGGAGGGGGCGAGCGUUGUCCGAAGUUACUGGGCGUAAAGCGCGCGUAGGCGGGUUGGCAAGCCCGCUGUGAAAGCCUGAGGCUCAACCUCAGCGGGUCGGUGGAUACUGCCAGUCUUGAAGGCGUUAGGGGGAGAUGGAAUUACCGGUGUAGCGGUGAAAUGCGUAGAUAUCGGGAGGAACACCUGUGGCGAAGGCGGCCCCCUGGUUGGAUACUGACGCUGAUACGCGAAGGCGUGGGGAGCAAACAGG
RNAcentral lists this ribosomal RNA (253 nucleotides) under uncultured bacterium. RNAcentral describes it as "partial 16S ribosomal RNA". It matches the Rfam family "Bacterial small subunit ribosomal RNA", at positions 524 to 776 of the family's 1533-position model. The record is from RNAcentral.